CCCCACAUUUUGGUGCCGGGGCUU
This 24-nucleotide transfer RNA is filed under the name Bavayia septuiclavis. Its description in RNAcentral is "partial tRNA-Cys". The record is from RNAcentral. Lineage: Eukaryota; Metazoa; Chordata; Lepidosauria; Squamata; Diplodactylidae.